UGUGAGCUCGAUGAGUAGGGCGGGACACGUGGUAUCCUGUCUGAAUAUGGGGGGACCAUCCUCCAAGGCUAAAUACUCCUGACUGACCGAUAGUGAACCAGUACCGUGAGGGAAAGGCGAAAAGAACCCCGGCGAGGGGAGUGAAAAAGAACCUGAAACCGUGUACGUACAAGCAGUGGGAGCCUCUUAAUGGGGUGACUGCGUACCUUUUGUAUAAUGGGUCAGCGACUUAUAUUCUGUAGCAAGGUUAACCGAAUAGGGGAGCCGAAGGGAAACCGAGUCUUAACUGGGCGUUAAGUUGCAGGGUAUAGACCCGAAACCCGGUGAUCUAGCCAUGGGCAGGUUGAAGGUUGGGUAACACUAACUGGAGGACCGAACCGACUAAUGUUGAAAAAUUAGCGGAUGACUUGUGGCUGGGGGUGAAAGGCCAAUCAAACCGGGAGAUAGCUGGUUCUCCCCGAAAGCUAUUUAGGUAGCGCCUCGUGAAUUCAUCUCCGGGGGUAGAGCACUGUUUCGGCAAGGGGGUCAUCCCGACUUACCAACCCGAUGCAAACUGCGAAUACCGGAGAAUGUUAUCACGGGAGACACACGGCGGGUGCUAACGUCCGUCGUGAAGAGGGAAACAACCCAGACCGCCAGCUAAGGUCCCAAAGUCAUGGUUAAGUGGGAAACGAUGUGGGAAGGCCCAGACAGCCAGGAUGUUGGCUUAGAAGCAGCCAUCAUUUAAAGAAAGCGUAAUAGCUCACUGGUCGAGUCGGCCUGCGCGGAAGAUGUAACGGGGCUAAACCAUGCACCGAAGCUGCGGCAGCGACACUAUGUGUUGUUGGGUAGGGGAGCGUUCUGUAAGCCUGUGAAGGUGUGCUGUGAGGCAUGCUGGAGGUAUCAGAAGUGCGAAUGCUGACAUAAGUAACGAUAAAGCGGGUGAAAAGCCCGCUCGCCGGAAGACCAAGGGUUCCUGUCCAACGUUAAUCGGGGCAGGGUGAGUCGACCCCUAAGGCGAGGCCGAAAGGCGUAGUCGAUGGGAAACAGGUUAAUAUUCCUGUACUUGGUGUUACUGCGAAGGGGGGACGGAGAAGGCUAUGUUGGCCGGGCGACGGUUGUCCCGGUUUAAGCGUGUAGGCUGGUUUUCCAGGCAAAUCCGGAAAACCAAGGCUGAGGCGUGAUGACGAGGCACUACGGUGCUGAAGUGACAAAUGCCCUGCUUCCAGGAAAAGCCUCUAAGCAUCAGGUAACAUCAAAUCGUACCCCAAACCGACACAGGUGGUCAGGUAGAGAAUACCAAGGCGCUUGAGAGAACUCGGGUGAAGGAACUAGGCAAAAUGGUGCCGUAACUUCGGGAGAAGGCACGCUGAUAUGUAGGUGAAGCGACUUGCUCGUGGAGCUGAAAUCAGUCGAAGAUACCAGCUGGCUGCAACUGUUUAUUAAAAACACAGCACUGUGCAAACACGAAAGUGGACGUAUACGGUGUGACGCCUGCCCGGUGCCGGAAGGUUAAUUGAUGGGGUUAGCGGUAACGCGAAGCUCUUGAUCGAAGCCCCGGUAAACGGCGGCCGUAACUAUAACGGUCCUAAGGUAGCGAAAUUCCUUGUCGGGUAAGUUCCGACCUGCACGAAUGGCGUAAUGAUGGCCAGGCUGUCUCCACCCGAGACUCAGUGAAAUUGAACUCGCUGUGAAGAUGCAGUGUACCCGCGGCAAGACGGAAAGACCCCGUGAACCUUUACUAUAGCUUGACACUGAACAUUGAGCCUUGAUGUGUAGGAUAGGUGGGAGGCUUUGAAGUGUGGACGCCAGUCUGCAUGGAGCCGACCUUGAAAUACCACCCUUUAAUGUUUGAUGUUCUAACGUUGGCCCCUGAUCGGGGUUGCGGACAGUGUCUGGUGGGUAGUUUGACUGGGGCGGUCUCCUCCUAAAGAGUAACGGAGGAGCACGAAGGUUGGCUAAUCCUGGUCGGACAUCAGGAGGUUAGUGCAAUGGCAUAAGCCAGCUUGACUGCGAGCGUGACGGCGCGAGCAGGUGCGAAAGCAGGUCAUAGUGAUCCGGUGGUUCUGAAUGGAAGGGCCAUCGCUCAACGGAUAAAAGGUACUCCGGGGAUAACAGGCUGAUACCGCCCAAGAGUUCAUAUCGACGGCGGUGUUUGGCACCUCGAUGUCGGCUCAUCACAUCCUGGGGCUGAAGUAGGUCCCAAGGGUAUGGCUGUUCGCCAUUUAAAGUGGUACGCGAGCUGGGUUUAGAACGUCGUGAGACAGUUCGGUCCCUAUCUGCCGUGGGCGCUGGAGAACUGAGGGGGGCUGCUCCUAGUACGAGAGGACCGGAGUGGACGCAUCACUGGUGUUCGGGUUGUCAUGCCAAUGGCACUGCCCGGUAGCUAAAUGCGGAAGAGAUAAGUGCUGAAAGCAUCUAAGCACGAAACUUGCCCCGAGAUGAGUUCUCCCUGACUCCUUGAGAGUCCUGAAGGAACGUUGAAGACGACGACGUUGAUAGGCCGGGUGUGUAAGCGCAGCGAUGCGUUGAGCUAACCGGUACUAAUGAACCGUGAGGCUUAACCUUACAACGCCGAAG
RNAcentral lists this ribosomal RNA (2559 nucleotides) under Escherichia coli. RNAcentral describes it as "partial 23S ribosomal RNA". It matches the Rfam family "Bacterial large subunit ribosomal RNA", at positions 398 to 2925 of the family's 2925-position model. Lineage: Bacteria; Pseudomonadati; Pseudomonadota; Gammaproteobacteria; Enterobacterales; Enterobacteriaceae. The record is from RNAcentral.